UGACCUGCGGAGGGAUCAUUACCGAGUUUUCAACUCCCAAACCCUUAUGUGAACCUACCUAUCGUUGCUUCGGCGGACUCGCCCCAGCCGGACGCGGACUGGACCAGCGGCCGCCGGGGACCAUCAAACUCUUGUAUUAUCAGCAUCUUCUGAAUACGCCGCAAGGCAAAACAAAUAAAUUAAAACUUUCAACAACGGAUCUCUUGGCUCUGGCAUCGAUGAAGAACGCAGCGAAAUGCGAUAAGUAAUGUGAAUUGCAGAAUCCAGUGAAUCAUCGAAUCUUUGAACGCACAUUGCGCCCGCCAGCAUUCUGGCGGGCAUGCCUGUUCGAGCGUCAUUUCAACCCUCGACCUCCCUUUGGGGAAGUCGGCGUUGGGGACCGGCAGCACACCGCCGGCCCUGAAAUGGAGUGGCGGCCCGUCCGCGGCGACCUCUGCGUAGUAAACCAACUCGCACCGGAACCCCGACGUGGCCACGCCGUAAAACACCCAACUUCUGAACGUUGACCUCGAAUCAGGUAGGACUACCCGCUGAACUUAAGCAUAUCAAUAA
This 552-nucleotide ribosomal RNA is filed under the name Beauveria bassiana. RNAcentral's name for it is "eukaryotic LSU rRNA". The stretch from base 184 to 337 matches the Rfam family "5.8S ribosomal RNA". Lineage: Eukaryota; Fungi; Ascomycota; Sordariomycetes; Hypocreales; Cordycipitaceae. The record is from RNAcentral.